CUGUGUGAGGGUGGCAGGCAUGAGAGACACGCGUCUGCCCUGUGACUUAUAAGAUCGACAGCAAGAGUGUGCCUGAGGCUCCCAGCAGACACAGGUUAACAGGGUUUGUGGGAGAUGCUCACUGGCUGUGAAAUAAAUAAGUGGCUGAGGAGAAGCCCAGCCUUUCCAGCUACUAAGGCUUAGGAGAAUAUUUUGAGUGUCUUCAACAUCAGAGUAUUUCAUCUUUUCUUUUGUCAGAGUUCUACAUAUAGAUGGUUACAUUCUGUACCUGGAAAUUUCUACAAAAUUUCUUCCCACUUGAGUCCCAUGACUCGGGAAUGGGGUGGUUCUGCUCAUUGACUGGGGUUGGCCAGAAACCAAAAAUGACAGCUUCAAAGGAGCCUGGGAUUUGUCAGUUAUGUUUUGUCAGUACUGUAGAGUUCAAAAAAUGCUUUCACAGUAUCUCUCCAUCUGAGGCGGCAGCGUGCUCUCUUACCAGCAUCAGGAGCUCAGGGCCAUGGGAUGGUGGGGGCUGACUGCUUUGCCGUCAAGACAGCUGAGCUAGUCACUGCAGGUUUGAUUCUUUUACGUAAGGCCUUUCAUGUUCUUUACUUGAAUGUUUCAACAGGGAGUUAAUUAACUGAGUUAAUUAACAUUUAAUAAAUAUGAUUCUUUGUUGAAAAGACAGUUAUAGACAGAAUAUAAGCUCUGAAGCCUUUAAAAACGGUUUCAUUACUGAAAUUUCAGUAGGGGAGAUACACAGUUUAUCUUAUUUAUGCCUGUCUUUUAAAGUAACAAAGAAACAAGACAGAAAAGGCAGAGGAUUGUUUCUGUUCUUCCUUUCUGCUUGCAGGUGCCCUCACCUCCAGUAGCAUCCAUCCAGACACCGGAACUGACACUGGCCGUGCUCCGAACUGCCUCAGCCCUGAAGACACAACUGACAAAUAGAAGGGGACCACGCCCUGUUACAGCAGGUGCUCUCACUUUGUGGAUCCUUAUGUAACUGAGCGGUGUUAAUCAGGAUUGCCCGUUCUACAUUGUGUGGCGCUGCUGCGGUGUCUCCUAGUUACUUGUUUCUCUCGCUUUAUUCACUCAGGGGUAUAUCAUGGACGUCCUCCCACUCCAGACUCACCCGGCCCUUUCAGAUAGAUUGGAGGGGUCUCCUGAUGUGCGGGUGUCGUCUCUUGUCCACGGAAACGUUUGGUGCGAGACUGCUGUGGACAAGGCCCUGGACCACGGCGAAACGCCGGCUCCCUCAGCGCCCGCAGCUCGCCUUGAUUUACCGCAUCAUUGUCUUGAUGGUGGACAGUUAAGUUUUCUCCAUUUUCCACUGUCAGAAAGAAUGUUUGAGUUGCAUCCUUCUUGUACAGAACUUCCUGUGAUCUUGUAUGUGUAUUCCUUUAGUUAAGGCUUCUGGAAAUUUAGUCCCUGGAUGUGACAUUUACAUUCAUCACAGACUCCUUUCAAGUGACUAGAAAUUCCUUCUCCAUUGGGGAAUGAAAAAAUGCACAAUUACUUAUGUAACCAAUUCUCUAUCGCUGGAUAUGAUUUCACUUCAGUUUUUCUUCCCACCUUUGUAAACAGUGCUGUGUAAAUGCCCUGAUGGGUACAUCUUUUUGGACUGAUUUUUUUUUCCUAAAGGAAACGAUUCCUAGAAGUGGAGUUGAGUCAGUGUGUAUGUACGUUUUUCAGAGCUUACAAAUCCAUUGAUAUGUCAUCCUCUGAAAAAGUCGCUCAUGAUUUGUUCUCCCACAGAUGGACACUAGCUAGAUUAUCUUAAAAAUAUUUGCCAAUAUGAUAAGCAAAAGUGCUUUUUCAUUGUUUUUUUUUUGCAUUUGAUGACCAGUGAAGUUUUGAGCAUUUUUCACUCAUUAGUCAUUUGACUUUUUUAAAAUGAAUGAUUCCUUUUGUCCUUUGCCCACAUUUAAGUGAGGGAGCUUCUUGUUGCUUUGUGACAGCUUUUUGUAUGUUAUGAAAAUUAACUUCGUGAAUUCAUCAACAUGUAUCACAGAGCUUUUUCUUGUCAUUUCUUUCCUUUCAUUUUGUUCAGGAAGUUUUCUGAUUUUUGUUGUGGCUCAAACUAUUCUUAGGAUAGUAAAUGUCUUCCUUAUGGGUUUUAUCUUUGACAUUAUUCUUAGAAAUACUCUCUUAUAAUGGAAUAAAUCUCUUCUGUAGGUAUUUUUUAAUCUCUAAGAUGGAGAUUAUAAUAGUACAUGUUAUAGUGAGGAGAAGUUGAGUUAAUAAGAGCAAAGAGUUGUAUUUGCUGUUACUAGUACUUUUUAAUAUUUACAUCGCUAUCUGCAAUUUAUCUUGUGGUCAUUAUGACAGGAGUAGAAUUUAUUCUUUCCAGGUGAUUCUCUGUCCCAGGACAAUUAUCGAAUUCAUAAUUUUCUCUUUGAUUUGAAAUCCCACCUGUACAAAAUACUUACAUACACUAGAGUCUUUUUUGAGCUCAUGGUUCCCUUCUGUCAAUCUCCUUUCCUUACUCCAGCACCAUAUCUUACAUGUUGUAAAAAUUUAUUUAAUAACUGGCAGUCUGAUUUUUUUUGAUUCUUUUCUUCCAUCCCAAAUUUUCUUGUCAAGUAUUAUGACUUUAUUAUUCCUGAAGAAUUCCAAAAUAUUUUGUUCAAGUUAAAAAAAAUCAGAUUGGAAUUUUCAUGGGAUUUUUUAGUAAGUUUUGAAUUAUUCUUAGGAGAACUUACAUCUUUACAAAACUGCUUUUCUCCAUGCAAUAUGUUUAUGUCUCUACAUUCAUACCUCUUACUUUAACCCUCAGUACAGUCCUGAAGUUUCUCCAUUUAGAAUAUGGGCAUUAUUUUUGAAUUUAUUCCAGAUUAUUGUUUAUGUUUUUGUUAAUUUUGUAAGUGAGAAUUUUUUGCUAUUAUAUUUUUAAAUGUUUAAAACUGACAUUUAGAAAGGAAGAUUCGGUUUGUCAAUACUCACUUUGUAACUUGUCAUUUAAAAUUGUAAGUAUUAAGUACUUGUUCCAGAAUCCUUUCUUUUCUGUUUUUUAAAAUUUGUUUCCAAGAUUCUCAAAAUGUUCAUAGCUAAGUAGUAUAGGUGGGGACACAGAUGGAGAGAGGAAGUGUGGCUCACGAACAAACUGUGAGCAAUUUCAUGGCUGCCUUUAGGCUGGAGAAGCCACAGAAGAGCCCAGGUUAGACCAAGGGUGGCUUUGUAUGCACUUGAAAGCCAGCUUUCCUGCCUGUAUGGUGAAGCCUGGUGGGCGUGGCAGGUAGAUGAUCAAGGUCUGAUCAAGGUCAUUGGCUGCACAGAGCACUGUGUCUGUGAGAACUGGAGACCAUUACCAUGGGAAAUGCUUGGCGCCAGGAACACUGCAGGGGAGCUGGGGAGCCUGUGUGUUAAGGAUUUUCCAGCCCUGGGAGUGGGAAGAUGAGACUCUGCAUUCAGAUCUGAGUUUGAAUUCAUCCUCUCUUGUUUACUGGUCCUCUGACUUUUGUCAAGUUAUCUACCCGCUUUGAACUCCUGUUUUCUUGUCUCUCAAAACAGGAGAAUUACAGCCUGCUGCUAGAGUGUUUGAUCAGGGUAAAUGAUUUGUGUCUAUAAGAUGCCACGUACAGUCACAAUCUCAGUGAGAAAUGGGCUGUCGCCUCUUCUUCUGCAACUCAGUGCUCGAUAAGACAUCGGGGGAAAGCCAGUCCCUAAUUUGUAUGUGAUGCAAUGAGGAACAAAAUUAACGUCUUGCCUUUCCCUAGCAGGAUUCUUAUUUCUUUGCUUCAUUUACCUCUUUCCUCCUUUACUCUCCCCUUUCACCUCCUCCACCAAAAGAGACUGAGUCUGUCUCAGAACACUACAUUCAAAUUACUUUAAAUGUUGGCUCAUCCCCAUGAAAUUACAGUGAAAUUAAAAAUAAUCUGUACACGUCCCAGACAUGAUUAUAUUUGAUUUACACACACACACACACACACACACACACACACACACACACACAAUCAGGCUACCUCCCAUUUGCUGAGGGAGAAGGACCACUUUUUCUGAGUUUUCAUUCACUGAGCGUGAGAGCAAAGUCUCUUAAGCAGAAAUUCGCCUGGCUUCUUGCAUGGUUUUUUAAAUUGGAUUUCUGCUUUGUGUCCACAGAAAUAGACUCCUAUUAGAAGAGGGGAAGUGGAGACAUAGAUAUUCUGCUGAGAUAUUGGUGUCAUCAUAUUUGAGUUGGAAAGGACUUACGACAGCAUAGAGUCGUACCUUUUUAUGGGUGAGAAUCCAUGAUAGUGUAACUUGGACAAGAACCCGGGUCUUCUGUCUUCAUGUCCACGCGGAUGAAGAGGCAACUGAGUGGGGGAUGGCAGGGAUCCUUACUUGAGUUCCGGGGUCUUGCUAGUUUCCAUUGUUCAGCUGCCUUUAGUUUAUGUCCAUGUGGCCUCUCAUGGGAAGGUCACUCUAUCCUGAUAGAUUGAGUUUCUAAUCAGCAAAAAGGUCUGGACCCACUCAUGUUUCCCAGAGAUUUUCUGCUGACCUGCUGACAGUUUAUAUACAUGAGAUCUUAGAAACUGCUGGAUAUAAAAUCCUUAUUGUUAUCAUUUGCCCUCGAGUUCCACAGGAAUGGGGUGCUGUCUCAGGCUGUCUAAGGCCAGCUCUGAACAAAGAUAGGGUGAUAGGCUGUGCAGCUGGACACUCCCCAGUCGAAUGGGAUUUCCACCUUAGUUUUUAGAAUCAGGCAGAUGAGUUCAAAUCUUACCUUUACCAGUUAUUAGCUUUGUGACCUUGAGGAAGAAACUUUACUUUUUUGGGGACAAAUUUUCUUUAUCCGUAAAUAAGUUCAGUAUUUAUUUUAGGGUUUUUGUUUUAGAAUUGAAUGAGCUAAUUCCCUCACUUAUUCCUAAAAUACUGAUCACAUGGUUCUAUGCUGGUGACCUAGUGGUUGAUUACUAAGGGACUCAGUAGUGAGAAUGUGGGUGAGGCUCCCUGGAUAAUAGAGCUUAUAUUCCAUGAUAUGCUUGUAAAAGACUGGAUUGCAGUGGAUUUUUAGUAAAUGUCCAUUCUUUUCCUAAUCCCCAUUGAUUGUGUAUAUAUCUUUAUACUAAUAUAUGAACAAUUUUUUAUUGCAAUAUAAGUCUUUUUGUAGUAUUUAAAGUAUGUAGCUAUAACAAAAAUACGUGAAAUAAAAUGAUUUGACUUUUAUUUUCUUUUCAAUAAACAAAACAAAAUAAAAUAGAAAAGAAAAGAAAAAGUUUUGAAGGAGUAGAAAUAAUUUUAUUUCCGUGUAAUCGACUCCCUAUGUUAGGUUUUUCGGUUGUGUUCUUAAACAGCAUAUAAAAUUGACAGGUUUUGACUUCAGUGUUGAUAGCUGGGUGAGUAUAGUUUCUUUUUGUGGUUGUCUUUGAUGAAUUAUUUGCACUAGAUCAUAAAUAAUGUGCAUGUUACAUAUUGGAAACGAGGAAAGAGUGGAGACAUACUACCUCCAAUGCAGUCAUUUUGUUACCGAGUCCAAACUCAUUCUGCUCACCAAAUGACAGGCCAAUAAACUGGGAGAUGAGGUGUUGGAGCAAGGAAUAGUGACUUUAUUUGCAAAGCUGGCAGACCCAGAAGAUGGCAGACUGAUGUCCUGAAGAACCAUCUUCCCCAAGUCAGAAUUGAGUCUCUUUUUAUACUAAAAAGGGGUGGGGCUGCAGUUGGUUGUUGGAAACUUCUUGUUGUAUGAAUUGCUUGUCCUUUGAAUCCGCUGUUCUUGCAGCUGUCCAUGUGGAUCAAAUCAUGUUGCCAUUGUAAUACCUCCAAAAGUAAAACAAAGUUAUUCUCUAUUUUGCAACUUGCCAUCUCUACAUAAGUGCAGAUUAGUUAGCAUCCUUCAAGAUCACGGCCAGGAGAAGAGGCUGUCCUGGAUAUUUCAGUCUAAAGGCAACUUUCUUUUACAAAUGGUGCAGAGAUAGCAAGUCUGAGCCUAGAAAACAGGGCACAGGUUUAAAGCCAAAGGAACAGACCUAACAUGGGGUCAAAAUUGUUCUUUUCUAUUACAAUUCCCUUUUCCGCUUCAUAGAUAAUUUUAGUAAGAAACAUGAGCAAUUUUGUAUUUUUGCUUCUUAAUAACCGAUAAGUGGGCCAACUAUAUUUUUGUGAGCAGGGAUGCUGUGCGGGCAUAGGGGUCACAGCAAACUCUUGUUGGGGGUGGCCGACCCUGGAACAUGUCUGAUGCCCCGUGAGUGUUGGUGAGGGUCCCCUAGCCAGCGGCUCUCUUCAGGAGGCAGCAUAUGGGCAUUGAUAUCUGGAGACCUCAUUUUCGGCUGCAGGAAAUUUUUUAGAUACUGCGAUUGAAAAAUCACUCCAGCUGGGGAUAAUUAGGGAAAAAAGGAAAAGUAAAAGGGUUUGGAGUAGAGUAGAAGAGAAGGACAUCAGAUCACGGAGCCUGAGUGCUUGGCAGCGGGGCUUCGGGGGAGAGGGGAGCAGACGUGGGGAGGGGCCUGGCACCGGAACCAGCUCCUGCACCUGUCAACAUGCCCAAGCCACAUAGCUUUUAAUUGGGCCACCUCUCUGGGCUGGAUGUCACCCUGUGCAGAACCUUGAGAAUCGAAGGUAAGGGGUGGGCAGCACUCACCUAGGGGUCACUGUAGAUUUCGGUCAAGUCCACAGUGCCU
This is a long non-coding RNA of Camelus dromedarius (Arabian camel), 6572 nucleotides long. RefSeq lists it as uncharacterized. The transcript has 2 exons. The record is from RefSeq and is a predicted model, not a curated record. Lineage: Eukaryota; Metazoa; Chordata; Mammalia; Artiodactyla; Camelidae.